CCCUUCCAGAUUCCUUAACCAUCAGACCUACACACUGCUCUGAGUGGUUAUAAGAAAAAGAAAAGCGAAAUUGAAACUGACUUAAAUCAUUUGUGACACACAGCUAGUUUCAAACGAUC
This 119-nucleotide small nucleolar RNA is filed under the name Echinops telfairi (small Madagascar hedgehog). Its description in RNAcentral is "Small nucleolar RNA SNORA61 (ENSETEG00000024395.1)". Lineage: Eukaryota; Metazoa; Chordata; Mammalia; Afrosoricida; Tenrecidae. The record is from RNAcentral.